Molecule: ribosomal RNA, 408 nt
Rfam family: Bacterial large subunit ribosomal RNA
CUUGAUUACAUAAGAGGUCCAGCCUGCCCAGUGACAUAAUUAAACGGCCGCGGUACCCUGACCGUGCGAAGGUAGCAUAAUCACUUGCCCUCUAAAUAAGGGCUUGUAUCAACGGCAUCACGAGGGUUAUACUGUCUCCCCUCUUUAAUCAGUGAAACUGACUUUCCCGUGAAGAGGCGGGAAUAAAAAUACAAGACGAGAAGACCCCAUGGAGCUUUAAACCCAAUAAUACCCUCUACUUACCAUAACCACUCAAUUAAGAAGCCCUAUCUAUUGGUUUUAGGUUGGGGUGACCCCGGAGUAAAACCAAGCCUCCACGACGAAUAGAUUCUGUCCCUAAUCCAAGAGCAACUACUCUACGAAUCAAUAUUUUGACGUAACCUGAUCCGCUUAGCGAUCAACGAACCA